Long non-coding RNA from Conger conger (European conger), 546 nucleotides. RefSeq lists it as uncharacterized. The record is from RefSeq and is a predicted model, not a curated record. The transcript is spliced from 3 exons. NCBI's taxonomy places the organism in Eukaryota, Metazoa, Chordata, Actinopteri, Anguilliformes, Congridae.
GUUAGCGGGCAUAACGAUUGAUUUCCCUGCUCUCCUGUUACAUUGUAGUUUUUGGAUAAUAGUAACCAAAAAUACUAUUACAACUCUGUUUACGACAAUUGCAGAUGAUGAAGAGAAGAGUUCAUGUAACUAGCCCCUGAAACAAGCAGGAGCUGAACAUGGCUGCAGUAUAGCCAUCUGGAGAUGAGAUACUAAACACCUGGUGAUGUCAAUGGGUCACACACUACAGGCAUUCAUUUCAUGCUCAGGAUAUGUGGCAAGGGGCGACAUGGCUCAGGCAGUAAAGCAGUCGUCUGGCAGUUGGAUGGGGGCCGGUUCGAUCCCCCGCCCGGGCUGUGUCGGAGUGUCCCUGAGCAAGACACCUAACCCCCAAAUGCUCCUGACGAGCUGGUCAGCACCUUGCAUGGCAGCCAAUCGCCGUUGGUGUGUGAGUGUGAGUAUGAACGGGUGAAGGAUAAGCAUCAAUUGUACAGUGCUUUUGAUAAAGGCGCAAUAUAAAUGCCAACCAUUUACCAUUUACCUAUCCUGCAAAAGUUUCCCUUUUAA